CUUGGAGGGAACCAACUGACCUUGAAUUUCAGGUUUCCCUCCCCAUGGCCCCUCCGCUCCCGCCGGAGUUUGCUCGCCGCCGGCCCGUUAGAGCCCGCCGGCGACCUCCCCGCCACCCCUGACCCCUCCGCCGCCUCUCUGGCUGCAACCGCCGCCGUUCCCCUUGCCCCGUCCGGCUAGUCGCGCCCCGCGCCGGGAGCCGCCCCAAGCCGAAGGCGUAGCGGCGGCUAGGGCUCGCGCCGCCGCCGGCCGGCCCCUCGUGGCCCUCCCCUGCGUCCGCCGCGGCCUCCGUCAACCCCUCCGCCGCCCUCCAGCACCAUGGCCGCCCUACAGCACUGUCGCCGUGCAGGCUCCUCCUCCUCCACGGCUCUCAUGGCAGCGGCGGCGGCGUAGACCACGGCGAGCUCGUCCGUGACGAGCACCGCGCCUCCCGCUCCUCUUCCUCGUCGCCGUCUCGCGUCCCCCUCCUCUACCCCCCGCGCGCUGUUGUCCCGACCCCCUCGUCAACAAGCUGCUCGUGCGCCAUGGUCAUGGCCGCCGUCCGACCGACGAACGCCGCUGCGGAAGCUCCGGCGACGUCUCCCGCGCCGGCGCUGCUGCGCCCGACCUCCCUUGUGCCCCACACGCGCCAGCUGCAUCUCCCCGCGGGUUCAAUUUGGGGCAAUUUGGGAUUGAGUUUGGGGCUGAUUUGGGGAAGAUGGAGAUUUGUGAAAAAAAAAGAAAAGGAAAAAGAAUAUAGCAAUGCGGCCGGCGUGAGCAAGUGACCCGCGCGUCGGCGCGUGACACAUGGAAAAAAAUGCACGGACGAGGAAGGGAGACAAGCAAGGAAGCAUCUCACGACAAAGGAAAUUUAUUUGUGACGAGUUUAACAAACUCGACCUCCUGCCUCACCGUUUAAAAACGAAACUCGACCUCGUAAAACCGAGGGAGUACCAAAAUGCCUAAACUGAUACAUGGUUGUGUGAAAUGUGUAUGCGUUUAUUGAUAUUUUUCUAUUCAUAUUGUUAUUUUUGCCAUUUGUGAGCUUUGUAUAUUUGCGCCUUCCAUUUGAGUCUCGUCUAACUUUGCCCCAAAUCAUGUACCCAGCCGAUGAAAAUGAAUGGAAUAUGGAGCAAACUAUUGCCACCGUCA
This is a long non-coding RNA of Brachypodium distachyon (stiff brome), 1131 nucleotides long. RefSeq lists it as uncharacterized. The transcript is spliced from 2 exons. Lineage: Eukaryota; Viridiplantae; Streptophyta; Magnoliopsida; Poales; Poaceae. The record is from RefSeq and is a predicted model, not a curated record.